GACCUCCAGAGCUGUGAGGGCGUCAGUGUCGGUUGCUUAAGCUCCCGUUUUCGCUGCUUUAUUCCCGGCCUAAGCCGACUCUCACAGAGUCUAAUCCCACACCCAACUACGCCCAGACAACAGGGUCCGUGGUACCAAAGCUAGGCAUGAAGGGAGAAGGGUCAGCUGGGCCCUUCAGAGAGGCUGGGGCAGGAGCUGUCCUCACCCAGGAGCCCAUGUGGAGAACAGGGAGGCCAGAGCACAGGGCGCAAGAUGCAUUCUCCCCCCGACCCCGCAUCACUCCACCCUUCCGGCCACAUGCCAGGCCCCCGCCCUGCCCAGCCCCCAGGACAGUGUAGCUGCUGAGAGCUCUGCCUCUCUGGAAGCGGGCAUCAAGGCAGGGCACCAGCGAACGUGGCCCCGGUCACCGUCAGUCCCCUGCGCAAGGUACGACCCCUCACAGGGCUAUGGUGACCGUGGCCUCCAGAUCACUCAGGGUCAGAUCAGAAGAGGCUGACUUCAAUUUCAGCAGGAAUUUAGGUCAGAUAACCAGGGCUGUUAAGCCUCAGCCUGCUUUGUCUGAGGCGUUGUGACGAGAAACACCGGUGUUCGGUGAAUCUGCCAGGCAGGCAGUGCUCCCCCACCUACCCUGUCCAUCCCCAUUGGGGCCCUCCAGCCUCCGUGCCUGAGUGACAGCUUCAGAGCAAGGGAGGCUCCUUCCCGAGUGGGUGGUAUCAGUGGAAGGUAGACAAGGAGUUCAGCCCUGAGGUGCAAGGACACCGCGCUUGGGGAACAGAGACAUCAGGACCCACGGGCCGCUCGGAAGACAAGGAGGAAGAGGGCUGCUCUGGCCUUUGGGACCUUGCAGAGCCAGGUCUAACCCCAGAUCCACUGGCAUUUGCUUUCUAGAUGGCCUUUGGAAGACACCUGGCCUAGCAUCUCAUCUGCAAAUGGAGCAAAAGUACAUGCCCACCAGCGGCAACUGAGCCAGCUUGCUCCGAGAGGCCAGAAUGCAAUCAGUGCCUGGAGAGCCUGGCUUCCUGCUUCCUCCUCAGGAAGAUAAGUGCAAUAGUGACCCUGAAAUCAACCUUCCGUGCUAAGAAGGGCUGUGUCAUGUCCACUGCAGCCACUGUCCACGGUCCACUGUCCGUGGGAACUGCUAGCCAGACGGACUCCUCGCCAUUGGUGGGCUCUGGGCGUAGGCAGGCAGGCAGUGAAGGCCUGGCCUAGAGGUAGCCCCCAAAUGGUCUGGAUGGGGGACAUUCAACCUGGGCCAGGUCAGGGCUUCCAAGGGGGCCCAGCAGUAGCUGGCCAGUGUUGAGGCAAGCAGGUGACAGCAUGAUGGGCAGGACAGUGUGGGUCACAACAACAUAAGGCCACAGACACGGGAUUGGGGGUGGGGACCAGGCAGCUGGGAAGGUCCUGGCCUCGGAAAGGCAGGGCUGACUCCAGGCCCAGAAACUCCUGACCCUGGGACAAAAAAUGGCAAGAGCCAUCCCCGGGGCAGUGAACCACUGAACAUUUGACCAGAACCAGAACUCAGGAGAGGCAAAGCUGAGUGGCAGCAACUAAUCCAGGGCCCACGUCAGCCUGGGGUCAGAGGCCAAGUUCAAGCAAUACAAUCAGGGCUCGGCCUAGGAGGAUGCUAGGCCACAAAUCAGCAUCAAGACAAAAGGAGAGAGCAAAUAUUGACCCAAUCAGUGCCAGCUCAAACACUCAUGCCUCCCUGCUGCCUUCCAGUCCUCGGCUCACCGCCAUCCCACUCCCCGACACCCAAAACAGAGCUUCACUGUCACCUCUCUCGGGUCAUCGGUCCCUUUCCUCUGUGUGACAAUGUGAGUGAGGGUCUCCCCUGCCCUGAUAGGUGAUGGGCAGCACAAAGGGAGGAGUCAGGGCUGGGUGCAGUGCCUCAUGCCUGUAAUCCCAGCACUUUAGGAGGCUGAGGCAGGAGGAUCACUUCACACCAAGACCUAGAGACCAGCCUGGGCAACAUAGUGAGACCCCUGUCUCUACAAAACAGUGCAAAAGAAAAAAUGUGCCAGGCGUGGUGGUGUGUGCCGGGAGACCCAGCUGCUCAGGAGGCUGAGGCAGUAGGAUCGCUUGAGCCCAGGAGAUCUAGCCUACUGAGCCACGUUCAGGCCACUGCACUCCAGCCUGGGCAGCAGAACAAGACCCUGUCUCAACAACAAAAACAAAACAAAGCAAACUCAAAAGGAAGAAUCAGGACCCAAGACUACUUCCCCCGGGGCCAGCCCAGGACUGGCAUACAGUAGGUACUCAAUACGUGCUUGUUAAAUGGCCUGGGGUCAGCCCGCAUGCACACUGGGGAAGGCCAGGAAGAAGCAGGCAGAAGAGGGCUCCCCACAGCCACUUGUGGUUCCCACUUCCCGGGUGUGCAUCUUCUUUUAAGGACCUCUCCACGGUCUCGCAGAACCACAGCUGCGUUUCCCAGAACAGCAGUGAUCAGCGGGAAAACACUGCAUUCUGACAUUCAAGCCUCAGACGGGUCACAUGUUCUUCCCACGGAGAUCACAAGCCAGGGAAGUCACUUUUUCAGCAGCUCUUUUCAUCUACCUCCUGCCGAGAGAAUCCGGGAGUGACAGGAAGUCACUCCCAGCUGAGAAACUGGUGCCCUGUGAUCCCUUUGGUCUUGGGAAUAUAUUUAAAUGCCAUGUGACGAUAUAGUUAAAAUUCUUAGAAGGGUGGUGGCUCCCUCUAAAGUUGGCCAUUUGACAAACCGCUAACCUAGAAGAAGACUCUCACUAUUGCUCCGUAAAGAUGAAGGGGGCUCAGGAGCUGACGGCCCCCCCACUUCAUCCUCCCGGCUUCUCCACCUCUCCAGGCACGCAGAAUGCUCGGGCGUUCCGAGAACCAUGACGCAGGGCGGGCACUGCACGGGGGCUCUUUCCCAGCAGCUCUCUCCUCUCCCUAGGUCUGAUGGUCUCCUACCCACACCUUCACAGAUGAUGAGCAAAUGGGUCUUUCCUUAGGUUCCUGCAAAUAUGGACUUAUCACACAUCCACACUGAUGCCAGAAAUGUCAUGGCUACAUGUUGACUUACAGUAAUGAAUGGAGACCCCAGCACCCAGCAUGGCCACAGCACGAUGCUAAGGAGAAGCAAAGAGCAAGCCAGCUCUGGAUGUCUCCUGGAGUCAAGCGAAGCUUGGGUCCUGGCUGCUCAAAGUGCACCCCCAGACCAGCGACAUCAGUGUCACCUGGGAGCUUGCAAGACUCCUAUGCCUGCCCCGACUCACUGGAUCAGGAUCUGCAGCUCUACAGAUCUACAGGGACACAGAAAGGACAAGCGUGGUGGAUGCUGCUCCUCGCCCUGCAACGAUGCUGCCGCUGGGGAAGCGGGUGUUUCUUCCUGAGCGAGCCAUCUUGUCCCGGGCAGAGGUGUGAAUAACCCCUCUGACUCUCUGCACCGAGAUUUAGGGGAAGGAUCAGUGGACAGCUCAGGAAGUGCCGCUCUCAAACCUGCUGGGCAGCCGGCUCCGUGUGGCUUAAGAAGAGGUGCACAUGGAGGUUGCAGUUGUGUGAAACCCAGCUGAAGAUAUGAACAGCGACGCCGAAUCCAUGCAGUGAUAGAAGUUGGGGUCCAGCUUCUGUAGGAUUACCUCCAAUGCCAGAGACCACCAGCUCCCAAAGAAGCCCAUUCUGGUGGCUCAAAGCCGCAGCCAACAGGACGCAGGCAUGGGGCUGCAGGGAGGUGCCUAAGCCUGGAAUGGGGAGCCCAGAAGACACCGAACUGAGGCAGGGACUGGACCGGAACUCACAGACGGAGCUGCUGCAGCCAGGCCUACAUGGCCACCUUUCUGUGCACCCACAAUUGUCCAGAGAAGAGCCAUUGUCACCAAUCCCAGCCAAAGCCCAGCCAUGAGGCAUCAUCCUUUACUAGCUGGUGGGCCGCACUUAGCUUCUCUGAGCCCCAGCUUCCUCCUGGGUGCAAUGAGGCUCAAGAGAACCUCGCUCACAAGCUACUGGCAGGAUCAAAGGGAAGCAUACAUGUGAAACGCUUGAAAUCUGUGGUCCUCGGAGUCCUGCUGCCUCCCCCAAGCAUCUCACCUGGGCCCCAUAGUGGGAUGGGCUUCUGCCACAUCCUCAGGCAAUGCAGAUGAGAAGCGAGGAGCCAGCAGAGACUGACCUGCCAUCCACCAGAGCCGGCCCGACAAGUGUGGACCAGCUAGUAACUGUCACAGCCUCCCUGCUCUUCUGGCCAUCGCUCUUGCCCAAACUGCUACCUUCCUUCACUCCAGAGAGAAGGGAGUGACCACUCGCUGGUGUCCACUGCUGGCUUCAGUCCACACGGAUUCACGCCCCAGCCCAGGGCCCGGCAUUGCAGCGCUCCAUGAGCAGUUCCCAGGCAGAUAAGUGAAUGAGCAGUUGGACGGCCUUUCAAAUGUACCCGGAAUGUGGCGUCCUUCCCUACAGUUAGGAAACGCACACACACGUCUGCACACAUACACACGCGGUCCUUGCCCUGCUGCUCAAGUGUCCACUCUCAGCCUAAACAUCACACCCAUGGAUGGCCUCACUGGCCAUGAAGCCACAUGGGCCCCACCGCACCGCCCUGGACUUCCUCAGCACAGCCCUCAUCACAAUGGAGUCAGAUGCCUGUAUAGUUCUGUAUUUGGUAGUCAUCUGUCUCCAUGACACUGUAAACUCCUGGAGGGCCGGAAUAACCACAGAAUCCCCAGCAAGGACCCAACCACGCAUCUAGUGAUGAUGCAAGAAUGAGUCAGCAGGAAUUUGAGGAGGUGGCUGCAGUCGGUCCUCUGAGCUCGGAGGGCUCCCUCUGGAAUUGUGAGGGUCUGGGUUUCAAAGAAGUGGAGAGCUCAAAGCUACCAUCAAGUGGGAAACAGGGACUUGGAAGCAAAAGGGACCGAAGCCUGCUGGGGGUGGCAGAAGGGGCUUGAGGCCACCCGACACAGGGAGCUUGGCCCCUGCUCUGUCGCCCACGGCCAGGGAGGGAGUCUUUGUCAAGACAUCAGCUCAGAACAUAGACGGCAAAGUACGUGAGGCAGAGAGCCUCCGUGAGGAAGCACUGCCUCCUCUUCCAGCGGCUGAACAGGCUCCGUGCAAACUGAGCCCCACGGAGGGAGGGGUCCUCUCAGCUCCAGAGCCCCAGGAAACAGUGGGGCAGGCUGAAACCCAGCAGUGAGGCCCCAGGGCUGCCGGGGAGGUUCCAAGGGCCAGGCCAAUCUCCAGGGCCUGAAGUCAUGAGGUCCUGUGAGGCACCCAGAGACAACUUGUAGAGAUAAGCAGGGCCACCUGACCGGGGUGGGGUGGGGGACACCACGUUCACCCUCCUCCCCAGCAGACUCUGAAAUGGUGGCAGUAAGAAAGCGUGGGCAUCCAGCAUUUCAGGAUGGGGAGGGGCAGGCAUGCUCAUGACAGGUGAGGAGAGGCUGGAGCUCCCUCAGAACUAUUGACCAGGCCUCCCCAGCAGCGGCCCUGCAGCCAGCCCAGGGCAGCCAGCCCAAGCUCCAACCUGGCCAGGGUUGGGCAAGAUGACCCCUCCACAAGAAUUGAGAAACUCCCUGGAUAAGCUUCUACCAGAGAGUCAGGGAAGAACCAUGGAAAACAGACCUGGGCCUGUUGAUACUGGGGGAAGGCCAGUGUCCUCCAAAACUAGUGACUUUUGGGAUCUCUUACAGCUCCCUUUCUUGUGAAACCUUGCCUGUUUCCCUGCUGUUGCCAAGAGUAAAACCCACGUGUCUGUUUCCCGUCAGUGCUGCUGAACACAAUGCUGAAGCACACAAGCUCAGGGGCUUAGAGCUACACAUGCUUAUCACCUGCUACAGACUGCGCGUGUGUGCCACCCAAAUUCAGUGUUGAAAUCUUAACCCCCAAGGUGUGGUAUGAGGAGGUGGAGCCUUUGGGAGAUGAUUAGGUCAUGGGGAUGGGGCUGUCGUGAGUGGGAUUAAAGCCCUUAUGAAAGGGACUCUAGAAAGAGAACUUUCACCCCUUCCACCAGGUGAGGACACAGGGAGAAGAUGCCAGCUGUAAACCAGGAAGCGGCGCUCCCAGGCACUACAUCUGCCUUGAUCUUGGGCUUCCCAGCCUCCAGAACUGUGAGAAAGAAACAUCUGUGGUUUAUAAACUGCCCGGUCUAUGGUGUUUUGUUUCAGCAGCCCAGGCAGAGUAACACGUUACCCUACAGUUUCCAAUGACACAAGUCUGAGAUCAAGGUGUCAGCAGCUCCAUGUUCCUUUUGUUUCAGGAGAGAAUCCAUUUCCUGCCUUUUCAGCUCCUAGAUGCUGCCUGCACCCCCUGGCUGGUGGCCCCUCCUCCAUUUCCUGCCUUUUCAGCUCCUAGAUGCUGCCUGCACUCCCUGGCUGGUGGCCCCUCCUCCAUUUCCUGCCUUUUCAGCUCCUAGAUGCUGCCUGCACCCCCUGGCUGGUGGCCCCUCCUCCAUUUCCUGCCUUUUCAGCUCCUAGAUGCUGCCUGAACCCCCUGGCUCGUGGCUCCUCCUCCAUUUCCUGCGUUUUCAGCUCCUAGAUGCUGCCUGCAUCCCUUGGCUCCUGGCCCCUCCUCUGUCUUCAAGGCCAGAGGGCAGCCUCUUUAAACCUCCCUCCAGUCCUGUUCUCCGCUUCUUGCAUUGACCCUCCUGCCCUCCCUCUUUCCCUGCAUGGACCCUUACGAUGACACAUGGGGCCCGCCUGGAUAUCCAGGAAAAUCUCUCCAGCUCAAGACUCUUCAUUUAGUCACAUCUCCCGAGUGCCUUUGCCUUGUAGGGUCACAUAUCUGGGGGUGAUGCACACAUCUGGAAGGGCCAUUAUUCAGUCUACCACAGAAUGAAAAGUGGUUCCGUACUUGUUCUCAAAGUGACAGAGUGCAGAAGGCAGUGAGGGGCUUGAAUGCAGCUCCAGGAUUGUGGGGCUGAGGGCACAGGGGCCGGGGACCCAAGGAAGGGAGAGCCAUAGGCCAGUGGGAAGGAAAAGAACAGCAAGCCGGGAGCUGGGCAGAAUUGAGAAUGGCCCCAUCAUUCAGCCGGCAGGCAGCCGGGGUUCACCAGCUUGGGUAUAGGCAGGAUUGGGAAAACGUGCUCUGGAAGGCCGUCUCUACCUGCAGGGUCAUCGUCAUCGCCAUCCUUCUAAUGCCAUGGCGAAGGGAAUGACUCUGACAAGAACUCUAGAAUCCUAAGUGCAUCUGACAGGCCUUCAGGCUUGUUUCCAUUCUCUGAGACCCAGAGAGUACAUGGCUCCAAAUGGAAUGACCAAGAUUCAUGCAAAGAAUGAAAGUGAUGGACGGAGUUUAACAGCAGCUCAGGAAGGCACGCUCCCGGCCACCCUCGAUGCGGACGGCUGGAGUCUGUUUAUGUUCCUGCCAUGCGCUUGCUCAGUUGUGUAAUGGUCACUGCCGGCGCAGCUCAGACCUUUGAUCAGCUCCCGGGGACUCAGGCCUCUUUCUUCUCCUUUCUGCUGGGAAGAGCCGUUGCAACAGGGCAUUUGCGACUGACUCUUCUGGAGAUCAAGUGACAACUGGUGGGAGGGGCCGUGGCAGCACGUCUUCUGGGCGCCCUGCUUCACGUACCAUCUGAGGACACGCACAGCCUUGAGAGUGGGGGAAGCUGGGCCCAGGUCCUGCCCCUGAGUGUGCUGUGCUGCGCAUCAGUUCAAAUCCUGGGGUAGGGUGUCCGGCAGCCCUGCUGGGAUGAGAGCAGCCGCCUGGAGCCUCCGCAGCCCCAUGACUAUGUGAUACGGUUUGGCUCUGUGUCCCCACCCAAAUCUCAUCUUGUAGCCCCCAUAAUUCACACAUGUUGUGGGAGCAACCCAGUGGGAGAUGAUUGAAUCACGGGGUGGGUCUUUCUUGUGCUGUUCUCCUGACAGUGAAUGAGUCUCACGAGAUCCGAUUGUUUUAUUUUAUUUUAUUUAUUUUGAGACAGAGUCUCACUCUGUCGCCCAGGCUGGAGUGAAGUGGUGCGAUCUCAGCUCCCUGUAACUUCCGCCUCCCGGGUUCAAGCAAUUCUUGUGCCUCAGCCUCUCCAGUAAUUGGGACUACAGGUGUGUGUCACCAUGCCCAGAUAAUUUUUUGUAUCUUUAGUAGAGGUGGGGUUUUGCCAUGUUGUCCAAGCUGUUCUUGAACUCCUGAGCUCAGGCAUUCCACCCACCUCAGCCUCCCAAAGUGCUAGAAUUACAGGCAUGAGCCACCACACCCAGCCUGCAGAUUUUAAAAACGGGAGUUUCUCUGCAGAAGCUCUCUUUGCCUGCCACCAGUCAUGUAAGAUGCGACUUGCUCCUCCUUGCCUUCCUCCAUGAUUGUGAGGACUCCUCAACCAUGUGGAACUGUCAAUCUAAUGAAAUCUCUUUCUUUUGUAAAUUGCUCGG
Long non-coding RNA from Callithrix jacchus (white-tufted-ear marmoset), 8309 nucleotides. RefSeq lists it as uncharacterized. The record is from RefSeq and is a predicted model, not a curated record. Lineage: Eukaryota; Metazoa; Chordata; Mammalia; Primates; Cebidae.